UCCGAGUUAGCAGAAAGGUGAAUGUGUGCGGUUUAGGUCCGUGAGGUGUGGGGAUUACACGCUUGGAA
This 68-nucleotide transfer RNA is filed under the name Lithoredo abatanica. RNAcentral's name for it is "tRNA-Leu". The record is from RNAcentral. Lineage: Eukaryota; Metazoa; Mollusca; Bivalvia; Myida; Teredinidae.